GACGAACGCUGGCGGCGUGCUUAACACAUGCAAGUCGAACGGAAAGGCCCUGCUUUUGUGGGGUGCUCGAGUGGCGAACGGGUGAGUAACACGUGAGUAACCUGCCCUUGACUUUGGGAUAACUUCAGGAAACUGGGGCUAAUACCGGAUAGGAGCUCCUGCUGCAUGGUGGGGGUUGGAAAGUUUCGGCGGUUGGGGAUGGACUCGCGGCUUAUCAGCUUGUUGGUGGGGUAGUGGCUUACCAAGGCUUUGACGGGUAGCCGGCCUGAGAGGGUGACCGGCCAGAUUGGGAAUGAGAUACGGCCCAGACGCCUACGGGAGGCAGCAGUGGGGAAUAUUGCACAAUGGGCGGAAGGCUGAUGCAGCAACGCGGCGGGGGGGAUGAGGGCGUGAGGGUUGUAAACCGCUUUGGCCUGUGACGAAGCGUGAGUGACGGUAAGGGGGAAAGAAGCACCGGAUAACUACGU
This 467-nucleotide ribosomal RNA is filed under the name uncultured bacterium. Its description in RNAcentral is "partial 16S ribosomal RNA". It matches the Rfam family "Bacterial small subunit ribosomal RNA", at positions 28 to 506 of the family's 1533-position model. The record is from RNAcentral.